RNAcentral lists this ribosomal RNA (468 nucleotides) under uncultured bacterium. RNAcentral describes it as "partial 16S ribosomal RNA". It matches the Rfam family "Bacterial small subunit ribosomal RNA", at positions 28 to 507 of the family's 1533-position model. The record is from RNAcentral.
GACGAACGCUGGCGGCGUGCUUAACACAUGCAAGUCGAACGGAAAGGCCCUGCUUUUGUGGGGUUCUCGAGUGGCGAACGGGUGAGUAACACGUGAGUAACCUGCCCUUGACUUUGGGAUAACUUCAGGAAACUGGGGCUAAUACCGGAUAGGAGCUCCUGCUGCAUGGUGGGGGUUGGAAAGUUUCGGCGGUUGGGGAUGGACUCGCGGCUUAUCAGCUUGUUGGUGGGGUAGUGGCUUACCAAGGCUUUGACGGGUCGCCGGCCUGAGAGGGUGACCGGCCACAUUGGGACCGAGAUACGGCCCAGACUCCUACGGGAGGCAGCAGUGGGGAAUAUUGCACAAUGGGCGGAAGCCUGAUGCAGCAACGCCGCGUGCGGGAUGACGGCCUUCGGGUUGUAAACCGCUUUCGCCUGUGACGAAGCGUGAGUGACGGUAAUGGGUAAAGAAGCACCGGCUAACUACGUG